CUACCAGAAUAUACGGGAUCCCGUCCGCUCUCCCAUAGUCCAGCUGGUAAGGGGCAGAUCAGUAGUUGGGUCGGUGACGACCA
RNAcentral lists this ribosomal RNA (83 nucleotides) under Epichloe festucae var. lolii. The record is from RNAcentral. Lineage: Eukaryota; Fungi; Ascomycota; Sordariomycetes; Hypocreales; Clavicipitaceae.